GACGAACGCUGGCGGCGUGCUUAACACAUGCAAGUCGAACGGAAAGGCCCUGCUUUUGUGGGGUGCUCGAGUGGCGAACGGGUGAGUAACACGUGAGUAACCUGCCCUUGACUUUGGGAUAACUUCAGGAAACUGGGGCUAAUACCGGAUAGGAGCUCCUGCUGCAUGGUGGGGGUUGGAAAGUUUCGGCGGUUGGGGAUGGACUCGCGGCUUAUCAGCUUGUUGGUGGGGUAGUGGCUUACCAAGGCUUUGACGGGUAGCCGGCCUGAGAGGGUGACCGGCCACAUUGGGACUGAGAUACGGCCCAGACUCCUACGGGAGGCAGCAGUGGGGAAUAUUGCACAAUGGGCGGAAGCCUGAUGCAGCAACGCCGCGUGCGGGAUGACGGCCUUCGGGUUGUAAACCGCUUUCGCCUGUGACGAAGCGUGAGUGACGGUAAUGGGUAAAGAAGCACCGGCUAACUACGUGCCAGCAGCCGCGGUGAUACGUAGGGUGCGAGCGUUGUCCGGAUUUAUUGGGCGUAAAGGGCUCGUAGGUGGUUGAUCGCGUCGGAAGUGUAAUCUUGGGGCUUAACCCUGAGCGUGCUUUCGAUACGGGUUGACUUGAGGAAGGUAGGGGAGAAUGGAAUUUCUGGUGGAGCGGUGGAAUGCGCAGAUAUCAGGAGGAACACCAGUGGCGAAGGCGGUUCUCUGGGCCUUUCCUGACGCUGAGGAGCGAAAGCGUGGGGAGCGAACAGGCUUAGAUACCCUGGUAGUCCACGCUGUAAACGGUGGGUACUAGGUGUGGGGUCCAUUCCACGGGUUCCGUGCCGUAGCUAACGCUUUAAGUACCCCGCCUGGGGAGUACGGCCGCAAGGCUAAAACUCAAAGGAAUUGACGGGGCCCCGCACAAGCGGCGGAGCAUGCGGAUUAAUUCGAUGCAACGCGUAGAACCUUACCUGGGUUUGACAUGGAUCGGGAGUGCUCAGAGAUGGGUGUGCCUCUUUUGGGGUCGGUUCACAGGUGGUGCAUGGCUGUCGUCAGCUCGUGUCGUGAGAUGUUGGGUUAAGUCCCGCAACGAGCGCAACCCUUGUUCACUGUUGCCAGCACGUUAUGGUGGGGACUCAGUGGAGACCGCCGGGGUCAACUCGGAGGAAGGUGGGGAUGACGUCAGGUCAUCAUGCCCCUUAUGUCCAGGGCUUCACGCAUGCUACAAUGGCUGGUACAGAGAGUGGCGAGCCUGUGAGGGUGAGCGAAUCUCGGAAAGCCGGUCUCAGUUCGGAUUGGGGUCUGCAACUCGACCUCAUGAAGUCGGAGUCGCUAGUAAUCGCAGAUCAGCAACGCUGCGGUGAAUACGUUCCCGGG
RNAcentral lists this ribosomal RNA (1343 nucleotides) under uncultured bacterium. RNAcentral's name for it is "16S ribosomal RNA". It matches the Rfam family "Bacterial small subunit ribosomal RNA", at positions 28 to 1378 of the family's 1533-position model. The record is from RNAcentral.